RNAcentral lists this long non-coding RNA (339 nucleotides) under Elaeis guineensis (African oil palm). RNAcentral describes it as "long non-coding RNA (EGUI_LNC026084)". Lineage: Eukaryota; Viridiplantae; Streptophyta; Magnoliopsida; Arecales; Arecaceae. The record is from RNAcentral.
CAUGCAACUGAUCAUUUUAUUAUGACAAACUAAUGGCCUAACAAAUUUCUAACGACCAAAGCGAAUCUCCACCAUAUAAAGAGGGACAAAGUACUCACCGAAGGAUAAGUCAUAAUUCAGAGAGCCCAGACUCUACUGAACUCUUUUUUCAUUGAAGAAAAUCAAAAAACAAAUCUCACUCUUUCCACUCAAAAUUCUCUCCUUGCCUUCUAUUUUUCCUAUUUCUACUAUCUGUUCUCAAGGUCCUGACUAACUUAAGUAUUAGAGGAUUCUAAACCAGAAGGUAUCCUAUCAAUUUUGCGACUUCUUUUGUAGAUCCACUCAUGGUCUACAUCAGUC